GAUGAACGCUGGCGGCGUGCCUAAUACAUGCAAGUCGAGCGAACGGACGAGAAGCUUGCUUCUCUGAUGUUAGCGGCGGACGGGUGAGUAACACGUGGAUAACCUACCUAUAAGACUGGGAUAACUUCGGGAAACCGUAGCUAAUACCGGAUAAUAUUUUGAACCGCAUGGUUCAAAAGUGAAAGACGGUCUUGCUGUCACUUAUAGAUGGAUCCGCGCUGCAUUAGCUAGUUGGUAAGGUAACGGCUUACCAAGGCAACGAUGCAUAGCCGACGUGAGAGGGGGAUCGGCCACACUGGAACUUGGACACGGUCCAGAGUCCUACGGGAGGCAGCAGUAGGGAAUCGUACGCAAUGGGCGGAAGCCUGACGGAGCAGCGCCGCGUGAGUGAUGUAGGUCCUCGGAUCGUAAAACUCUGUUAUUAGGGAAGAACAUAUGUGUAAGUAACUGUGCACAUCUUGACGGUACCUAAUCAGAAAGCCACGGCUAACUACGUG
RNAcentral lists this ribosomal RNA (497 nucleotides) under uncultured bacterium. Its description in RNAcentral is "partial 16S ribosomal RNA". It matches the Rfam family "Bacterial small subunit ribosomal RNA", at positions 28 to 507 of the family's 1533-position model. The record is from RNAcentral.